GUGAAAUUCGCAGACGCAUGCCUUCACGGUCUAAGAGAGGAUGCCGGCAGUGUGCUUUUGUGGCUUCACAGGUAACGGACCUCCUGUUCUUCGCAAUCAAGGAGGCUUUGGGCGCGGAGGAGCUGAGAAGGUUUACCAUCUAGGUCCAUUGAAUGAGUAUGAGAAGUAUGGAAUGUUUGUGACAUGAAAAGUUGCUUGGUGAAAACCUCAAUUCACUGGUAGGUGGAUGGAUAUGGACAAGAUUGGAUUGGAAGAAAGCAAAAGAACUUGCAUUAAGCAUUCAAAAGGGAGUUUCCUUCAAGAAAUGAAAAUGGAGAUGGCAUCAAGAAUCCCUUUUUUAAUAUGUAUUCUGUGUCAUACAAUAGAAGUGAAUGAGACAACUAUGCAUGCUUAUAGAAUUCAUGAAGGAUAAAAAACUGCUAAUUCGUACAAAGAUAUCGAGCCCUGCCCUACCAGCAACGGUCGGGAUCAUUCAAUACAAUA
Salvia splendens (bonfire salvia) is the source of this 483-nucleotide long non-coding RNA. RefSeq lists it as uncharacterized. The transcript has 2 exons. NCBI's taxonomy places the organism in Eukaryota, Viridiplantae, Streptophyta, Magnoliopsida, Lamiales, Lamiaceae. The record is from RefSeq and is a predicted model, not a curated record.